GGAAGGGAAGUGAAACAGUUUGAAGGAGGUGAUGGGCAGGAUAAGAGGAGCAUCUGUAAUUUCACCUUUCUCCGCCUCCUUUUCUCAGAGCCCCUCUUCUUGGGCCUGCGAUUCCUCACCUGGAAGGGAGAAGAGUGGACUUCCUGCCUAGAGAACACCUUGGUAAACUCUUUGUGGUUCCUGUCAUGAGAAGGUGUGCAGCUUAGGGAAAAAGCCUGUGAGCUCUGGAAUCAGAUGGAACUGGAUAUGAAUUUCCAUUUAGCGCUUGUUGGAUUAAAUGUGAUGCUACUUCUCCCAGCCGAAAGAAUAAAACUGGUAAGAGGAAGGGAAAUGCAGCCUCAGUAAGGAGGCCUCCAUUCUGGAAGGGCUUCCCAGGCCCAGAGAAGGGAGAAAGUAAUUUGGAACCACCCAAGUAUUGGUGAUGCCAGGCCUCACCCUACCCUGGGGAUAUUUAAAUCUCAAAAAGGGAGCAUGGGAAUCUGACAAAGCACUUGCAUGUAUAAAGAACUCCUCCAAAUCAACAAGGCAAACACCUCAUUAGAUACAUAGGCAAAAACCUUAGAAGAGCCACAUCACAAAGGAGCACCUCCAAAUGGCCAAGAAGCAUAUGAAAAGAUGUUCAAUCUCAUUAGCUACCAGGGAAUUCAAAUUAGAACUACACCAGGAUGGCUGAAAGUGCAAAGACUGACAAUAUCAAGGGCUGGUGGGGAUGCAGAGCAACUGGAACUCUCCUAUGCACUGCGGAAGGGGUAAAUUAAUACCGCCCCUUUGGAAGAACAGUUUAGAAGCAUCACUAAAGCUGAACAUAUUCAUGCCUACUCCGGAAAUCCUGAGCCCAGGUAUAUAUCUAACAGAAGUUUGUUUAUAAAGGCACCAAAAGUCAAUUACACAAGAUACAAGAAUGUUCAUAGUAGAGCCGUUUGUAUUAGUCACAAACUGGAAACCACCCAAAUGCCCAUCAGUGUGGCUCCCUUUGAAGAACUGCCUUGGGGUUCAUGUUGCAGCAUCAAACAGGGAUGGAAGAUGCAUCUUGCUUUAGCAGCAGGAGCCUGGAAAGCAGCUGAAGCCCUGGAGGGUGCCUGGCACACAGAAUCUUGUGCUGAGCCUGGAGCACAAUGGGAGCGGGCUGGCAGGGUGGGUUCACAGCUGGACUGGGAGCAGCAGACAUACAGGCCGUAGGCACAGACAUAUAAAGACAGUCAUGCAGAUUGCAGGAUGCCUGAGAGCACAGACUCUCACAUGCACAAAUACGUGCGUGAUCGCCAGUGUGCAUCCAGACAGCCCCACAUGCAUGCACACGCAUGCACACAUGUGAUGUGUACAUAGAUGGACACAUGUCUAUGCCCACAAACACUGCAGAGACACACACAGAAGUGUCUGGCAAGGAACACUAUUUUGUCCUCAAUUUUCUGCCAGUGAGAGUCUACUGACUCCAUCUCUGAAAUGUCUCUACUUAUUGUCCC
Molecule: long non-coding RNA, 1463 nt
Filed under: Pan troglodytes (chimpanzee)
Lineage: Eukaryota; Metazoa; Chordata; Mammalia; Primates; Hominidae
Description: long non-coding RNA NONPTRT005409
Source: RNAcentral